GAUGAACGCUGGCGGCGUGCCUAAUACAUGCAAGUCGAGCGAACAGACGAGGAGCUUGCUCCUUUGACGUUAGCGGCGGACGGGUGAGUAACACGUGGGUAACCUACCUAUAAGACUGGGAUAACUUCGGGAAACCGGAGCUAAUACCGGAUAAUAUUUCGAACCGCAUGGUUCGAUAGUGAAAGAUGGCUUUGCUAUCACUUAUAGAUGGACCUGCGCCGUAUUAGCUAGUUGGUAAGGUAACGGCUUACCAAGGCAACGAUACGUAGCCGACCUGAGAGGGUGAUCGGCCACACUGGAACUGAGACACGGUCCAGACUCCUACGGGAGGCAGCAGUAGGGAAUCUUCCGCAAUGGGCGAAAGCCUGACGGAGCAACGCCGCGUGAGUGAUGAAGGUCUUCGGAUCGUAAAACUCUGUUAUUAGGGAAGAACAAACGUGUAAGUAACUGUGCACGUCUUGACGGUACCUAAUCAGAAAGCCACGGCUAACUACGUGCCAGCAGCCGCGGUAAUACGUAGGUGGCAAGCGUUAUCCGGAAUUAUUGGGCGUAAAGCGCGCGUAGGCGGUUUUUUAAGUCUGAUGUGAAAGCCCACGGCUCAACCGUGGAGGGUCAUUGGAAACUGGAAAACUUGAGUGCAGAAGAGGAAAGUGGAAUUCCAUGUGUAGCGGUGAAAUGCGCAGAGAUAUGGAGGAACACCAGUGGCGAAGGCGACUUUCUGGUCUGUAACUGACGCUGAUGUGCGAAAGCGUGGGGAUCAAACAGGAUUAGAUACCCUGGUAGUCCACGCCGUAAACGAUGAGUGCUAAGUGUUAGGGGGUUUCCGCCCCUUAGUGCUGCAGCUAACGCAUUAAGCACUCCGCCUGGGGAGUACGACCGCAAGGUUGAAACUCAGAGGAAUUGACGGGGACCCGCACAAGCGGUGGAGCAUGUGGUUUAAUUCGAAGCAACGCGAAGAACCUUACCAAAUCUUGACAUCCUUUGACCCUUCUAGAGAUAGAAGUUUCCCCUUCGGGGGACAAAGUGACAGGUGGUGCAUGGUUGUCGUCAGCUCGUGUCGUGAGAUGUUGGGUUAAGUCCCGCAACGAGCGCAACCCUUAAGCUUAGUUGCCAUCAUUAAGUUGGGCACUCUAAGUUGACUGCCGGUGACAAACCGGAGGAAGGUGGGGAUGACGUCAAAUCAUCAUGCCCCUUAUGAUUUGGGCUACACACGUGCUACAAUGGACAAUACAAAGGGCAGCGAAACCGCGAGGUCAAGCAAAUCCCAUAAAGUUGUUCUCAGUUCGGAUUGUAGUCUGCAACUCGGCUACAUGAAGCUGGAAUCGCUAGUAAUCGUAGAUCAGCAUGCUACGGUGAAUACGUUCCCGGGUCU
This 1372-nucleotide ribosomal RNA is filed under the name uncultured bacterium. RNAcentral's name for it is "bacterial SSU rRNA". It matches the Rfam family "Bacterial small subunit ribosomal RNA", at positions 28 to 1381 of the family's 1533-position model. The record is from RNAcentral.